ACAGUAUAUACAUAUGCACAUAUUUACAGCUACCCUAAUGUUCUGUUUGGUGUCGUGGAGACCCCGUCCCUCUUUAACAACUCCAAAAACAUACUUAACAUUGUCUUAUCACUUUGAUACUUUAUGACUUUUUAUAAUUUUAUGAUUCUAAUAUUAUUGCUUGUAAACAUGAUUUUGAACAAAUUACAUUAUACUAUGAUUACUUUACACUGACCACAGUCGUGCUGUUUUUACUAGGGGUGUAAGAAAAUAUUAAAAUAUCGCAAUAAUAUAUUUUGUGAUACUGUAUCGAUUCUCAAAAACAGUGGCCGACGUGAAAACGCGAAUGACCCUCUCUAGAGCCAGUUGUUGUAAGAGUAGAGUGCGUGGAGUGUGUGUGUUAGAGGGAAUUGAGUGGUGAAGUAAGUGAGACAGAGCGGCGGCGACAGGAGCGACUCCGGACCAAGCAGGAAAAGUUAACAGUUGUUCUGGGCUACUGUAGAAACAUGGCGGACUCCGUGAAGAGGACCCGCUCCCUAGAUGUAAACGGCUCAUUAUAAGGUAACGCAAACACAACUCUUAUUAUCAGGUGAUUAAACACUAAAGAAAACAUAAUUAUUACUAUCACAUUCCAUAUCUGCCAAUAGAUCCCCUUUAUUGUUACACGCUGGUCCUUUAACUCAAUCGAUACUUUAUUUUAUUGGCAAAGAGAUGUGUCCUCUCAAAGUAGUGCUAUGAUGUUGGAGGCUAUAGGGGCUGUGAUAAAUGCAAAGGCAGAUCUCACGGUCCUGAUUACAUUAAGGAAAUAAACCUUUCCAUUAUGCAUAUAGCAUUUUUUUCUUUAUACUAUGACAGUUUUCCUAAAAUUUGAUUUUUAAAAAAUCACAAUAUAUCACCUUGCUUACAGUAUCGCAAUAAAUCACAAUAUAUUGAAUUGUAACGCCUAUAUCAUGAUACGUAUCAUAUCGCCAGAUUCUUGCCAAUACACAGCCGUAGUUUAUACAUUAUAAAAAAUGUUUACUGUAUAAACUUAAUUGUCAUAUAAAUUUAUGAACUGUAGACUCAAAAUAAAAUAAAUCUUUAUGAAAAGAUAUUUUUUUCUUUUGUUUUUUUCUUUUUGUGAAAUUUGUUUAUAUAAGUGUAACAAAUGACAAACAAAAAACAUGAAGCAUUUCCACUUCAUCUCCCCCUCUACCCCUCUCCACCUCACAUUUCUCAUGUGCCCACAUUUGCUGCACUUGCUAAGUGAAGCACAAUGCCGAGGCAUGUUGUUGCACAUUUCAUUGGCCCCUUCAAAUGCACUUUUUCAGAUGCAAAUAGGGGUUGCCAUAGUAACUGUGGGCUUAAAUGUAGCUCGCCUUCUAAAUGGGGAAUAAGAACAUUUAAAAAGUAGAACACUCCAAAGAAUACAAUGAGAACGGAGAGAGAGACAGACGGGGAGGGAGGGAGGGAGAGAUCUUUUGCCUUCUUGAGGAGUGAGGGCUAUAAAAAGCGCUGUAGCCCUGCAAGGUGGCAGUUGGCUUGGCAUCUAUUCGCUGCAUUGUCCCUCUCCCUGUCACACACACACAGAGAUAAGAUCCAGCACUCGCCCGGCCAUUCCUCCUGCAGCUCUGACACACACACAUGCACACACACCACCGACACGCUCAACAGAAAUCUGUUGUAAUCUGCAUAUGUAACAGCGUGAGGAAAGUGAAAAGGAAAUCUGUAUGCCCUCAGACACCUGGAGCAUCGAUUACUCUUUCUGUCCUCAUUUCACCUUUUAUAGAUCGACAUCGGCGUAUGCAGGAGGACACAGUGAGGCGAAUACAGACUUCAAGCCAAGUCACACAAGAUGUACAGAUGUGGACACAUGCAGACACUGGCGUGAUUGAUUAAACACUACAAAGUAAGCAUUUUGUGCAAAUACCCGUCCAAAUUUUAUAUAUACGUGUGCACAAAAUUUCACACUCUCUGCACAAAUAACACAAAACUGAGAGAAUUUAUUCCUGACACAUAUUAUGUAAAGGGACACGUGCUGAACAGAAGACUGUGUUAUGCUAAUUGAAGGCUUCUCAAAUUCAUUUAAUUCACUGUUGAAAUAAAUUCACUGGAGCAGCCUGCAUGAACAGCUGUCAUCAUCGAUGUCACUUAGUCCAUCCCAAGAACGGAGCUCUUGUCCUGACAAGGAAAUAGGCUUGAUGGUGAGCAAAGUUUAAUAGUUUACGUGCGCUAUGAGAGUGACCAAAAAGUUCUCAUAACUAAAAGACAAAGUUGGUUGUUAGUUUGCGCCUUUCAAAACAACCUAUUUGACGAAUAUGAGCUCUUUCUGAUCUGCUACCUUUAGGUCUGGUUUAUUUUAGGCAACUAAGCU
Sebastes umbrosus (honeycomb rockfish) is the source of this 2332-nucleotide long non-coding RNA. RefSeq lists it as uncharacterized. NCBI's taxonomy places the organism in Eukaryota, Metazoa, Chordata, Actinopteri, Perciformes, Sebastidae. The transcript has 2 exons. The record is from RefSeq and is a predicted model, not a curated record.